AAUAUAUACAUAACGCAUAACUACAAAGAGAUAAACUAGAGAUUGAAUUAUAGA
Molecule: unclassified non-coding RNA, 54 nt
Filed under: Leishmania tarentolae
Lineage: Eukaryota; Euglenozoa; Kinetoplastea; Trypanosomatida; Trypanosomatidae
Description: guide RNA
Source: RNAcentral